AUUCUGUAGCAAGGUUAACCGUAUAGGGGAGCCGGAGGGAAACCGAGUCUUAAUUGGGCGUUAAGUUGCAGGGUAUAGACCCGAAACCCGGUGAUCUAGCCAUGGGCAGGUUGAAGGUUGGGUAACACUAACUGGAGGACCGAACCGACUAAUGUUGAAAAAUUAGCGGAUGACCUGUGGCUGGGGGUGAAAGGCCAAUCAAACCGGGAGAUAGCUGGUUCUCCCCGAAAGCUAUUUAGGUAGCGCCUCGUGAAUUCAUCUCCGGGGGUAGAGCACUGUUUCGGCUAGGGGGCCAUCCCGGCUUACCAACCCGAUGCAAACUGCGAAUACCGGAGAAUGUUAUCACGGGAGACACACGGCGGGUGCUAACGUCCGUCGUGAAGAGGGAAACAACCCAGACCGCCAGCUAAGGUCCCAAAGUCAUGGUUAAGUGGGAAACGAUGUGGGAAGGCCCAGACAGCCAGGAUGUUGGCUUAGAAGCAGCCAUCAUUUAAAGAAAGCGUAAUAGCUCACUGGUCGAGUCGGCCUGCGCGGAAGAUGUAACGGGGCUAAACCAUGCACCGAAGCUGCGGCAGCGAACGUAUCACCCAAGACAACUUUACGGAGUUGACGAUUGACGGAGCGAAGCGACGUCAAAGCGUUCAUUAAAGUCGAGUUGGCUUAGGGAUACGUUCGUUGGGUAGGGGAGCGUUCUGUAAGCCUGUGAAGGUGUGUCGUGAGGCAUGCUGGAGGUAUCAGAAGUGCGAAUGCUGACAUAAGUAACGAUAAAGCGGGUGAAAAGCCCGCUCGCCGGAAGACCAAGGGUUCCUGUCCAACGUUAAUCGGGGCAGGGUGAGUCGACCCCUAAGGCGAGGCCGAAAGGCGUAGUCGAUGGGAAACGGGUUAAUAUUCCCGUACUUGGUGUUACUGCGAAGGGGGGACGGAGAAGGCUAUGUUGGCCGGGCGACGGUUGUCCCGGUUUAAGCGUGUAGGUGUGUGUUCCAGGUAAAUCCGGUUCACUUUAACACUGAGGCGUGACGACGAGGCACUACGGUGCUGAAGCAACAAAUGCCCUGCUUCCAGGAAAAGCCUCUAAGCAUCAGGUAACACGAAAUCGUACCCCAAACCGACACAGGUGGUCAGGUAGAGAAUACCAAGGCGCUUGAGAGAACUCGGGUGAAGGAACUAGGCAAAAUGGUGCCGUAACUUCGGGAGAAGGCACGCUGACACGUAGGUGAAGUGAUUUACUCAUGGAGCUGAAGUCAGUCGAAGAUACCAGCUGGCUGCAACUGUUUAUUAAAAACACAGCACUGUGCAAACACGAAAGUGGACGUAUACGGUGUGACGCCUGCCCGGUGCCGGAAGGUUAAUUGAUGGGGUCAGCGUAAGCGAAGCUCCUGAUCGAAGCCCCGGUAAACGGCGGCCGUAACUAUAACGGUCCUAAGGUAGCGAAAUUCCUUGUCGGGUAAGUUCCGACCUGCACGAAUGGCGUAAUGAUGGCCAGGCUGUCUCCACCCGAGACUCAGUGAAAUUGAACUCGCUGUGAAGAUGCAGUGUACCCGCGGCAAGACGGAAAGACCCCGUGAACCUUUACUAUAGCUUGACACUGAACAUUGAGCCUUGAUGUGUAGGAUAGGUGGGAGGCUUUGAAGUGUGGACGCCAGUCUGCAUGGAGCCGACCUUGAAAUACCACCCUUUAAUGUUUGAUGUUCUAACGUGGACCCGUAAUCCGGGUUGCGGACAGUGUCUGGUGGGUAGUUUGACUGGGGCGGUCUCCUCCUAAAGAGUAACGGAGGAGCACGAAGGUUGGCUAAUCCUGGUCGGACAUCAGGAGGUUAGUGCAAUGGCAUAAGCCAGCUUGACUGCGAGCGUGACGGCGCGAGCAGGUGCGAAAGCAGGUCAUAGUGAUCCGGUGGUUCUGAAUGGAAGGGCCAUCGCUCAACGGAUAAAAGGUACUCCGGGGAUAACAGGCUGAUACCGCCCAAGAGUUCAUAUCGACGGCGGUGUUUGGCACCUCGAUGUCGGCUCAUCACAUCCUGGGGCUGAAGUAGGUCCCAAGGGUAUGGCUGUUCGCCAUUUAAAGUGGUACGCGAGCUGGGUUUAGAACGUCGUGAGACAGUUCGGUCCCUAUCUGCCGUGGGCGCUGGAGAACUGAGGGGGGCUGCUCCUAGUACGAGAGGACCGGAGUGGACGCAUCACUGGUGUUCGGGUUGUCAUGCCAAUGGCACUGCCCGGUAGCUAAAUGCGGAAGAGAUAAGUGCUGAAAGCAUCUAAGCACGAAACUUGCCCCGAGAUGAGUUCUCCCUGAGACUUAGAGUCUCCUGAAGGAACGUUGAAGACGACGACGUUGAUAGGCCGGGUGUGUAAGCGCAGCGAUGCGUUGAGCUAACCGGUACUAAUGAACCGUGAGGCUUAACCUUACAACGCCGAAG
Molecule: ribosomal RNA, 2411 nt
Filed under: Salmonella enterica subsp. enterica serovar Typhimurium
Lineage: Bacteria; Pseudomonadati; Pseudomonadota; Gammaproteobacteria; Enterobacterales; Enterobacteriaceae
Description: partial 23S ribosomal RNA
Rfam family: Bacterial large subunit ribosomal RNA
Source: RNAcentral